UACGGAGGGUGCAAGCGUUAAUCGGAAUUACUGGGCGUAAAGCGCGCGUAGGCGGCUUGUUAAGCUAGAUGUGAAAGCCCUGGGCUCAACCUAGGAACUGCAUUUAGAACUGGCUCGCUAGAAUAUGGUAGAGGUUAGUGGAAUUUCCUGUGUAGCGGUGAAAUGCGUAGAGAUGGGAAGGAACACCAGUGGCGAAGGCGACUGACUGGACCAAUAUUGACGCUGAGGUGCGAAAGCGUGGGUAGCAAACAGG
This 253-nucleotide ribosomal RNA is filed under the name uncultured bacterium. Its description in RNAcentral is "partial 16S ribosomal RNA". It matches the Rfam family "Bacterial small subunit ribosomal RNA", at positions 524 to 776 of the family's 1533-position model. The record is from RNAcentral.